UACAGAGGUCUCAAGCGUUGUUCGGAAUCACUGGGCGUAAAGGGUGCGUAGGCUGCACGGUAAGUCAGAGGUGAAAUCCCGGAGCUCAACUCCGGAAUGGCCUCCGAUACUGCCGUGCUUGAGGACUGGAGAGGAGUCUGGAAUUCACAGUGGAGCAGUGAAAUGCGUAGAUAUUGUGAGGAACACUAGUGGCGAAGGCGAGACUCUGGACAGUUCCUGACGCUGAGGCACGAAGGCCAGGGGAGCAAACGGG
This 253-nucleotide ribosomal RNA is filed under the name uncultured bacterium. Its description in RNAcentral is "partial 16S ribosomal RNA". It matches the Rfam family "Bacterial small subunit ribosomal RNA", at positions 524 to 776 of the family's 1533-position model. The record is from RNAcentral.